Molecule: ribosomal RNA, 702 nt
Filed under: Staphylococcus sp. TRC6
Lineage: Bacteria; Bacillati; Bacillota; Bacilli; Caryophanales; Staphylococcaceae
Description: bacterial SSU rRNA
Rfam family: Bacterial small subunit ribosomal RNA
Source: RNAcentral
UUCAAGAGUUUGAUCCUGGCUCAGGAUGAACGCUGGCGGCGUGCCUAAUACAUGCAAGUCGAGCGAACAGAUAAGGAGCUUGCUCCUUUGACGUUAGCGGCGGACGGGUGAGUAACACGUGGGUAACCUACCUAUAAGACUGGAAUAACUCCGGGAAACCGGGGCUAAUGCCGGAUAACAUUUAGAACCGCAUGGUUCUAAAGUGAAAGAUGGUUUUGCUAUCACUUAUAGAUGGACCCGCGCCGUAUUAGCUAGUUGGUAAGGUAAUGGCUUACCAAGGCAACGAUACGUAGCCGACCUGAGAGGGUGAUCGGCCACACUGGAACUGAGACACGGUCCAGACUCCUACGGGAGGCAGCAGUAGGGAAUCUUCCGCAAUGGGCGAAAGCCUGACGGAGCAACGCCGCGUGAGUGAUGAAGGGUUUCGGCUCGUAAAACUCUGUUAUUAGGGAAGAACAAACGUGUAAGUAACUGUGCACGUCUUGACGGUACCUAAUCAGAAAGCCACGGCUAACUACGUGCCAGCAGCCGCGGUAAUACGUAGGUGGCAAGCGUUAUCCGGAAUUAUUGGGCGUAAAGCGCGCGUAGGCGGUUUCUUAAGUCUGAUGUGAAAGCCCACGGCUCAACCGUGGAGGGUCAUUGGAAACUGGGAGACUUGAGUGCAGAAGAGGAAAGUGGAACUCCAUGUGUAGCGGUGAAAUG